Molecule: ribosomal RNA, 776 nt
Filed under: uncultured Neocallimastigales
Lineage: Eukaryota; Fungi; Neocallimastigomycota; Neocallimastigomycetes; Neocallimastigales
Description: partial large subunit ribosomal RNA
Rfam family: Eukaryotic large subunit ribosomal RNA
Source: RNAcentral
GUAGUCUCGCACAGAUGCAUAUCAAUAAGCGGAGGAAAAGAAACUAACAAGGAAUUCCCCUAGUAACGGCGAGUGAAGCGGGAAGAGCUCAAAUUUGAAAUCUUAAAGGGUUUCCCUUUACGAAUUGUAGUUUAAAGAAGUGUUUUCUGUUGAGGUUUUGGUAAAAGUUCUUUGGAAUAGGACAUCAUAGAGGGUGAGAAUCCCGUAUUUGACCUUUACUUUCAACUUUGUGAUACACUUUCAAAGAGUCGGAUUGUUUGGUAAUGCAGUCCCAAAAUGGGUGGUAAAUUUCAUCUAAAGCUAAAUAUUGGCGAGAGACCGAUAGCGAACAAGUACCGUGAGGGAAAGAUGAAAAGAACUUUGAAAAGAGAGUUAAACAGUACGUGAAAUUGUCAAAAGGGAAGCGUUUGACACCAGUGUUGUUUUUCUGAAAAUCAAUUAAAGAACUGUUUAUGCUAAGUUGUUUAGACUUUAUCAGCUAUCUGCUUAGUUUUGAGCUUUUCUUUAAUGCACUUUUCAGUUAACAAGUCAACAUCAAUUUCUUUUGCUGUAAAAAAGCUUGAGGAAGGUGGCUUGAGAUUCGUCUUAAGUGUUUAUAGCCUCUUGCCUAUGCAGUCGGAGAGAUUGAGGUCUGCAGCGUAGAUCCUUCGGGGCUAGAUGCAUUUGUGCUAAGUUAUAGCAUUUUAUAGACAACUUGUUGACUAUGAUUUGUCUUGUAGCUUACUCGCUUAUGUUAUUUUACCUACGCUUAGGAUGUUGACGCAUGAGAUAUACGC